CAUAUGGUUUCUAGGAGGACCCCAACAGCCCAACUGUCAGAGAGACUGUGAUCAGUGCUGUGUAGGAGGAGCUGGGAGGAAGGAUGUCACAUUCAAUUCAGAGUCCAUUAGGACCCAGACGCUCCCCUGCAAUAAAUUCCUAAUCCAGACAGCGCAUGCAAGCUCGGGAGGAGACCCUUCCAUGUCAUUCAGCCGAGAGGGCCACAGACUCAUAGACAAGAGGAGGGCUUCACCAAGGCCGGACACAGACAGAGGUGAGAGUCUUUCCCUCUCCGAUGCUUGUCCUCAUUGUUAGAGACUGACAGAGA
This 308-nucleotide long non-coding RNA is filed under the name Mus spicilegus (steppe mouse). RNAcentral's name for it is "lncRNA (ENSMSIG00000011476.1)". Lineage: Eukaryota; Metazoa; Chordata; Mammalia; Rodentia; Muridae. The record is from RNAcentral.